GAGGGGUAGAGAGAUGGAGGUAGGGUGGAUAGAUGGAGGGGUAUAGAGAUAGAGCAGUAGAGAGAUAGAGGUAGGGUGGAGAGAGGUAGGGUGGAUAGAUGGAGUGGGGGAGAUGGAGGUAGGGUGGAGAGAUGUUGGUAUAUGGAGUGGGGAGAUGGAGGUAGGGUGGAGAGAUGUUGGUAGGGUGGAGAGAUGGAGUGGGGGAGAUGGAGGUAGGGUGGAGAGAUGUUGGUAGGGUGGAGAGAUGGAGUGGGGGAGAUGGAGGUAGGGUGGAGAGAUGUUGGUAGGGUGGAGAGAUGGAGUGGGGGAGAUGGAGGUAGGGUGGAGAGAUGUUGGUAGGGUGGAGAGAUGUUGGUAGGGUGGAGAGAUGGAGUGGGGAGAUGGAGGUGGGGUGGAGAGAUGUUGGUAGGGUGGAGAGAUGGAGUGGGGGAGAUGGAGGUAGGGUGGAGAGAUGGAGUGGGGAGAUGGAGGUAGGAUGGAGAGAUGGAGGUAGUGUGGAGAGAUGGAGGGGUAGAUAGAUGUAGGUAGAAAAAGUGUAUAGCCAUUCCCUGGUUCCUGAGGAUCCUCUACCAUAAUCCCUCUCUCAUUCUCUCUUCUACUACUCCUCUUUCUCUCACAUGCACACACUCUCCCUUUAUCUGC
Oncorhynchus tshawytscha (Chinook salmon) is the source of this 642-nucleotide long non-coding RNA. The record is from Ensembl. Lineage: Eukaryota; Metazoa; Chordata; Actinopteri; Salmoniformes; Salmonidae.